Mauremys reevesii (Reeves's turtle) is the source of this 378-nucleotide long non-coding RNA. RefSeq lists it as uncharacterized. NCBI's taxonomy places the organism in Eukaryota, Metazoa, Chordata, Testudines, Geoemydidae. The transcript has 3 exons. The record is from RefSeq and is a predicted model, not a curated record.
CAGUGGAUCUAAGCGAACCAUAACCUCCGUCACCAGAUGUUCCGCUGAUUGCGCAAAAAACGUGUAAGGAGUCGUGCAUCCAGGGAGAAUGCAUAGUAUCUUCUUGGUACAUCUAAACAAAAACAAGGUAUCAAUGGGGAGACAAAGAGUAACAACUAGGAGCCGAAUCUUUGGAGGAUACCACCACUGAGGAUCUGAUUACACAUAACGCUUGUGGCACCUUACAUGCUCUAAGAAAUGCACACAAAGUGAAUAUGGCAAGGUUGGAGAGAAAGUACAUCAAGCAACAGGAAAAUUGAUGGGAUAAGUGCCAGCUGUGGGCAAGAAUUGCCUUAUACUAAGUCCCAAGCCCCAAGUGCCCUAGUCAUGAACCAGGAU